UACGGGGGGGGCAAGCGUUGUUCGGAAUUACUGGGCGUAAAGGGCGCGUAGGCGGCUCUUCAAGUCAGCCGUGAAAUCUCCAGGCUUAACCUGGAAGGGUCGGUUGAUACUGUCGAGCUAGAGUGUAGAAGAGGCAACUGGAAUUCCGUGUGUAGCGGUGAAAUGCGUAGAUAUACGGAGGAACACCUGCGGCGAAGGCGGGUUGCUGGGCUAACACUGACGCUGAGGCGCGAAAGCUAGGGUAGCAAAC
RNAcentral lists this ribosomal RNA (250 nucleotides) under uncultured bacterium. RNAcentral describes it as "partial 16S ribosomal RNA". It matches the Rfam family "Bacterial small subunit ribosomal RNA", at positions 524 to 773 of the family's 1533-position model. The record is from RNAcentral.